GCGGGAGUGGCGAAAUUGGUAGACGCACCAGAUUUAGGUUCUGACGCCGCAUGGUAUGCGAGUUCAAAUCUCGCCUCCCGCA
This 82-nucleotide transfer RNA is filed under the name Candidatus Moranella endobia PCIT. It matches the Rfam family "tRNA". Rfam says of the family: Transfer RNA (tRNA) molecules are approximately 80 nucleotides in length. Their secondary structure includes four short double-helical elements and three loops (D, anti-codon, and T loops). Further hydrogen bonds mediate the characteristic L-shaped molecular structure. tRNAs have two regions of fundamental functional importance: the anti-codon, which is responsible for specific mRNA codon recognition, and the 3' end, to which the tRNAs corresponding amino acid is attached (by aminoacyl-tRNA synthetases). tRNAs cope with the degeneracy of the genetic code in two manners: having more than one tRNA (with a specific anti-codon) for a particular amino acid; and 'wobble' base-pairing, i.e. permitting non-standard base-pairing at the 3rd anti-codon position. The record is from Rfam by way of RNAcentral. Lineage: Bacteria; Pseudomonadati; Pseudomonadota; Gammaproteobacteria; Enterobacterales; Enterobacteriaceae.